GAUGAACGCUGGCGGCGUGCCUAAUACAUGCAAGUCGAGCGAACAGACGAGGAGCUUGCUCCUCUGACGUUAGCGGCGGACGGGUGAGUAACACGUGGAUAACCUACCUAUAAGACUGGGAUAACUUCGGGAAACCGGAGCUAAUACCGGAUAAUAUAUUGAACCGCAUGGUUCAAUAGUGAAAGACGGUUUUGCUGUCACUUAUAGAUGGAUCCGCGCCGCAUUAGCUAGUUGGUAAGGUAACGGCUUACCAAGGCAACGAUGCGUAGCCGACCUGAGAGGGUGAUCGGCCACACUGGAACUGAGACACGGUCCAGACUCCUACGGGAGGCAGCAGUAGGGAAUCUUCCGCAAAGGGCGAAAGCCUGACGGAGCAACGCCGCGUGAGUGAUGAAGGUCUUCGGAUCGUAAAACUCUGUUAUUAGGGAAGAACAAAUGUGUAAGUAACUAUGCACGUCUUGACGGUACCUAAUCAGAAAGCCACGGCUAACUACGUC
RNAcentral lists this ribosomal RNA (497 nucleotides) under uncultured bacterium. RNAcentral's name for it is "partial 16S ribosomal RNA". It matches the Rfam family "Bacterial small subunit ribosomal RNA", at positions 28 to 507 of the family's 1533-position model. The record is from RNAcentral.